CCUACGGGUGAGCAGCAGUGGGGAAUAUUGGACAAUGGGCGAAAGCCUGAUCCAGCCAUGCCGCGUGUGUGAAGAAGGCCUUCGGGUUGUAAAGCACUUUCAGUGGGGAAGAAAGCCUUGGGGCUAAUACCCUCGAGGAAGGACAUCACCCACAGAAGAAGCACCGGCUAACUCCGUGCCAGCAGCCGCGGUAAUACGGAGGGUGCGAGCGUUAAUCGGAAUUACUGGGCGUAAAGCGCGCGUAGGCGGUCUGAUAAGCCGGUUGUGAAAGCCCCGGGCUCAACCUGGGAACGGCAUCCGGAACUGUCAGGCUAGAGUGCAGGAGAGGAAGGUAGAAUUCCCGGUGUAGCGGUGAAAUGCGUAGAGAUCGGGAGGAAUACCAGUGGCGAAGGCGGCCUUCUGGACUGACACUGACGCUGAGGUGCGAAAGCGUGGGUAGCAAACAGGAUUAGAUACCCGAGUAGUC
This 466-nucleotide ribosomal RNA is filed under the name Vreelandella stevensii. Its description in RNAcentral is "partial 16S ribosomal RNA". It matches the Rfam family "Bacterial small subunit ribosomal RNA", at positions 338 to 795 of the family's 1533-position model. The record is from RNAcentral. Lineage: Bacteria; Pseudomonadati; Pseudomonadota; Gammaproteobacteria; Oceanospirillales; Halomonadaceae.